GACGAACGCUGGCGGCGUGCCUAAUACAUGCAAGUCGAGCGGAAUGAUGAAGAAGCUUGCUUCUUCUGAUUUUAGCGGCGGACGGGUGAGUAACACGUGGGCAACCUACCUUGUAGAUUGGGAUAACUCCGGGAAACCGGGGCUAAUACCGAAUAAUCCAUUUUGCUUCAUGGCGAGAUGUUGAAAGACGGUUUCGGCUGUCACUACAAGAUGGGCCCGCGGCGCAUUAGCUAGUUGGUAGGGUAGUGGCCUACCAAGGCGACGAUGCGUAGCCGACCUGAGAGGGUGAUCGGCCACACUGGGACUGAGACACGGCCCAGACUCCUACGGGAGGCAGCAGUAGGGAAUCUUCCACAAUGGACGAAAGUCUGAUGGAGCAACGCCGCGUGAGUGAAGAAGGUUUUCGGAUCGUAAAACUCUGUUGUAAGGGAAGAACACGUACGAGAGUAACUGCUCGUACCUUGACGGUACCUUAUUAGAAAGCCACGGCUAACUACGUG
RNAcentral lists this ribosomal RNA (500 nucleotides) under uncultured bacterium. Its description in RNAcentral is "bacterial SSU rRNA". It matches the Rfam family "Bacterial small subunit ribosomal RNA", at positions 28 to 507 of the family's 1533-position model. The record is from RNAcentral.